AAGAGAAUUGGCUUGCCCCAAAAGUGAGCUGACAUGAAAAUAGAUAAAUGGGCCUCUUUUCAUGACCUUUUUGCUAUUCUAAACGGAUUUUACGAUUCUAUUUUUAACAUAAUCAACAUAGUAUUUCAUCGCAUAUGCUUCGGUGAGAAGGUCUGGAGCAUAAGAAUUGAAAUGUGACGGAAAGCUAUGAAGGAAACUACUAACAAAAUUAAUCGCCAUUAAAUAACAAAUAAACAUUUUUUAGCCUUU
This is a long non-coding RNA of Galleria mellonella (greater wax moth), 249 nucleotides long. RefSeq lists it as uncharacterized. The record is from RefSeq and is a predicted model, not a curated record. The transcript is spliced from 2 exons. Lineage: Eukaryota; Metazoa; Arthropoda; Insecta; Lepidoptera; Pyralidae.